CUCCUCAUCGGUGAGUACUUGAUCAUAAUCUAAGAAGGAGAUGUUGAGUCGGAUGGUGGAUAACCUCUACAAUACUUAUUCCCCACUCUCAAGUCCGAAGUGAUUUUAUUACUUCAAAUGAAGGAAAUAGUCAAUUACCAAACUAGUUCUUCGAUCACCGACCCAACCUUCUCUCUCCCAGAUAUUUAGUCGGUAGCACUUGUUGAAGAAAAUCCUAGGGCAUCAGUAACACAUCACUUCUUGAAUCUCACUACAUUUAUGAGGAAUGGGCAACUCAUGGCAUCGCAUCAUAAUGGCUCACAGAGGAAAAUAUAGAAGUCACUUUUGGGCCCAUUGUGAUUGCCCAUGUGUCGUAUGUUGGUAGGUCCACAUCAUGUCUUGUGGAUUAGCCUAUGCGGCUCGCUCUGGGAUUGGUGCGAUGAAGAAUCAUGUGAUUUGGUAUUUUCAAUGCAUGUCAGGUGUCAAAAUCUAAUGGCACGGGGCUUGAAUCUUGACUGUUAGUAGGUGGUGUAAGUAGGCCUUCUAUCAUUUUCCUCCCAUUUUGCUUUUGUCAUAUUUUUCUUUCCUGCACCAACUCUUCCCCUAUCAUUGCUUUCAAUAGAAAGACAGUCCUUGUUACUAUCAUCUUCCUUGAUGCUGGUGAUCUCCAAUUGUAGUCUCCAAUCGAUCCUCCUCCUUCCAUUAUAUUUCUCUCGCUUGUCCAUCGGCUUUUGCUUGGGUUCUUUAUCUUUUCUUUGGUUUGGUUUCCCCUUCUGCUUUUUUUCAUCCUUUCUGUCUUUUGCAUUCAAUAGCUUCUUCUUCUUCAUGUCUUCUAAUGAUGAUGAGGUCAAGGGUGAAAAUCUUCAUGGCAGUCAGAAUUCUCAGUCACCGCCUCCUCGAGCCAGGCUUGAGAGCACCUCUCGGACCACCGUCGAAACUGGCCCUUCAUCUAAAUGCCCAUCCCCCAUAUGGCGAUGUAUGGGUAGCCUC
This 969-nucleotide long non-coding RNA is filed under the name Elaeis guineensis (African oil palm). Its description in RNAcentral is "long non-coding RNA (EGUI_LNC003199)". The record is from RNAcentral. Lineage: Eukaryota; Viridiplantae; Streptophyta; Magnoliopsida; Arecales; Arecaceae.